Molecule: long non-coding RNA, 1290 nt
Filed under: Macaca fascicularis (crab-eating macaque)
Lineage: Eukaryota; Metazoa; Chordata; Mammalia; Primates; Cercopithecidae
Description: lncRNA (ENSMFAG00000054555.1)
Source: RNAcentral
UUUUUUUUUUUUUUUUUCCUUCUGUCUUGAACACAGACAUGAUGGUUGGUGUGGUGGCAGCCAUCUCUUUACCAUGAGUGAAAGGUCAAGAGAAUCAGUCAUGUCUCCUAACAUAGUUGAGUUGCUGAACCAAAACUAGCAGCCAUCUGCCUCUGGCCUCUUAUAUUAGAAAAACAAACCCCUAUUGGUUUAGAACCAAUACAGUUAGCUUUUCUGUUUCUUGCACUGAACACUUUUCUAACCAGUAUAGAGGUGGAUAAAGGAAACUGCUCCCAAAGGACUUGGUUUUACUUGUGUUUGAGAAUUAAAGACAAAUUCAGAGGACAAUUUAAUCAGAUGCCUGGAACCACAGGCUGAGCUCUAGCCCCGGUAAAGAAUAGAAAAGAACUGCCAAGUCUCAUUACCGAAGGCACAGAACAGCCCUCCAGUGAAGCAUCAAAGUUAAUGGUGUAUCUCAAUCUCAUCCACUGGCAAAUCCAAGGCAGAAAAAUGACUCCAGUGAUGGAUGCCACCACAUCAGCUGUUAGCUUGCUAUGGUUUUAGUCCCUUAAUCACCAACAGCUUCAGGAUCCCAAUGGAGAGAUGGCUGAUCAAACAUGAGGUGAGACAGCUGAGAAGGGGUGCAAUGGCUCUAGCCUGCGGGAACCAGAGUAGGCUUUCAUGGGCAAGAAGAAUCCAUCAAGAGCAGGUAACUAUUGUCCCUAUCUUAUAUGUGUAAGAAAACAGACAAGAUGAGAGUUUUAAGAGCUUUGUGUUUAAACUGAUUGUUCAUCAAACACUUAUUAAAUAACUACUGUGUACCAGGUCCUAUGCUGGGUGUCAGUGAGAUGCCCUGAGUUCAGUGAGGACAACAAACUGUGAAUGCAAAUAACAGCAACAUCAACCAAAGGGAUCCUGGGAGUCUCGUCAGAGGAAGAAAAUGCACUGGUGUCUUGGGGAGGGAAAUAACUUGGACUCUGCAUUGCUGGUGGAUGGGAAGAAGUGACUCAAUUCGGCUCCUCAAUUACUUUUGGGACAUACAUGAUGUGAGCAAACAAAAUUAAAAGGAGAAAGAGGGAAAGAAUGGACUUAUCCAUGAGGACAGGGACUCUGCUCCCGAUCAUUCCCUAGCACCUAUAACAUGCUAAAUGAACACACUGAUUAGGCAUGUGCAGUAUUGCACAGGCACUAUGCUGGGUACCUUAGGUAUAUGGGUGGAGGAGUUAUUGCCAUUUUUCAGAAAAGAACUGCGACCCAGAGAGGAGAAGUACUGGUCAAGGCCUCGCAGUGAGUGAGUGCCAAGUCAGGAUU